GAUGAAGAACGCAGCGAAAUGCGAUAAGUAAUGUGAAUUGCAGAAUUCAGUGAAUCAUCGAAUCUUUGAACGCACAUUGCGCCCCUUGGUAUUCCGAGGGGCAUGCCUGUUCGAGCGUCAUUAUAACCCCUCAAGCUCAGCUUGGUGUUGGGGCCUGCUGCACUCGCAGCCCUUAAAAUCAGUGGCGGCGCCAUCUGGCUCUAAGCGUAGUAAUUCUUCUCGCUAUGGAGUCCUGGUGGAUGCUUGCCAUCAACCCCCAAUUUUUCUAUGGUUGACCUCGGAUCAGGUAGGGAUACCCGCUGAACUUAAGCAUAUCAAUAAGCGGAGGA
This 329-nucleotide unclassified non-coding RNA is filed under the name soil metagenome. Its description in RNAcentral is "partial contains 5.8S ribosomal RNA, internal transcribed spacer 2, and large subunit ribosomal RNA". The stretch from base 1 to 120 matches the Rfam family "5.8S ribosomal RNA", at positions 35 to 154 of the family's 154-position model. The record is from RNAcentral.